ACACAGACAGCCACACGGACAGAAGAGCGCAGGAGAGCUGAGGGAGGACAGACAGCUGCCCUUGGCAGCGUGAGUGCACAGGAAAAAAGGCAGCAUAGGCGAGAGGUCAGUACGCAAGAAGGGAAGGCAGGCGAGAGAGGUCAACAAGAGGAAAGCUGCCAUUUGGCAGCAUGAGAAUGGGGAGGAUGGACAGAGUGAAGACUUGCGAGGAGCUGCGGGAAAGAAGGAGGUCAGAGUCAGUACGGGACAGCAAGAAUAAGGAGGGCACGAACGCAGCAGAUCAUCCCCUUUCGGUUUAAUCUUUCCAAACUUCUAUUUUAUUUUUGUUUUAAUAAUGUGUAAUUAAAUUUAUUUUGGCUAGAGGUUAAUCCAAAGC
This 376-nucleotide long non-coding RNA is filed under the name Malus domestica (apple). RNAcentral's name for it is "long non-coding RNA (MDOM_LNC013204)". Lineage: Eukaryota; Viridiplantae; Streptophyta; Magnoliopsida; Rosales; Rosaceae. The record is from RNAcentral.